CUAUACAUGACUCUGCGCAUAUCAAUAAGCGGAGGAAAAGCAUAACAGUGUAUACCUACGCUUAGGAUGUUGACGAGACUGUCGAUCUCAUCUAUACAUGACUCUGUGCAUAUCAAUAAGCGGAGGAAAAGGAUACCUACGCUUAGGAUGUUGACGAGACUGUCGAUCUCAUCUAUACAUGACUCUGUGCAUAUCAAUAAGCGGAGGAAAAGAAACUAACAAGGAUUCCCUUAGUAACGGCGAGUGAAGCGGGAAGAGCUCAAAUUUGAAAUCUUCAAGGUUUUACCUUGACGAAUUGUAGUUUAAAGAAGUGUUUUCUGUUGGAGUUUUGGUAAAAGUUCUUUGGAAUAGGACAUCAUAGAGGGUGAGAAUCCCGUAUUUGACCAUUACUUUCCAGCUGUGUGAUACACUUUCAAAGAGUCGGAUUGUUUGGGAAUGCAGUCCAAAAUGGGUGGUAAAUUUCAUCUAAAGCUAAAUAUUGGCGAGAGACCGAUAGCGAACAAGUACCGUGAGGGAAAGAUGAAAAGAACUUUGAAAAGAGAGUUAAACGGUACGUGAAAUUGUCAAAAGGGAAGCGUUUGACACCAGUGUUGUUUUCUCGAAAAUCAAUUAAAAAUGGCUUGAUUUUGUGUUGUAUUGACUUUAUCGGCUUUCUGCACUUUUUUCAUGUCUUUUUUAAUGCACUUUUCGUUUAACAAGUCAACAUCAAUUUCUUUUGUUGUAAAAGAGUCAUUGGAAGGUGGCUUUCAUUUCGGUGAAAGUGUUUAUAGCCUUUGACUUCUGCAAUCGGAGAGAUUGAGGUCUGCAGCGUAGAUCCUUCGGGGUUAGAUACAUUUGUGCUAAGUUAUAGUUUUUCAUAGACAACAUGUUGACUAUGAUUAAUCAUGUAGCUUACUCGCUUAUGCUAUUUUACCUACGCUUAGGAUGUUGACGAGACUGUCGAUCUC
This 947-nucleotide ribosomal RNA is filed under the name uncultured Neocallimastigales. RNAcentral's name for it is "partial large subunit ribosomal RNA". The stretch from base 164 to 947 matches the Rfam family "Eukaryotic large subunit ribosomal RNA", at positions 1 to 646 of the family's 3401-position model. The record is from RNAcentral. Lineage: Eukaryota; Fungi; Neocallimastigomycota; Neocallimastigomycetes; Neocallimastigales.